UACGGGGGGGGCAAGCGUUGUUCGGAAUUACUGGGCGUAAAGGGCUCGUAGGUGGCCAACUAAGUCAGACGUGAAAUCCCUCGGCUUAACCGGGGAACUGCGUCUGAUACUGGAUGGCUUGAGACCGGGAGAGGUGAGUGGAAUUCCCAGUGUAGCGGUGAAAUGCGUAGAUAUCUGGAGGAACACCGGUGGCGAAGGCGGCAUCCUGGACCAAUUCUGACGCUGAGGAGCGAAAGCCAGGGGAGCAAACGGG
RNAcentral lists this ribosomal RNA (253 nucleotides) under uncultured bacterium. RNAcentral describes it as "partial 16S ribosomal RNA". It matches the Rfam family "Bacterial small subunit ribosomal RNA", at positions 524 to 776 of the family's 1533-position model. The record is from RNAcentral.